RNAcentral lists this ribosomal RNA (1307 nucleotides) under metagenome. Its description in RNAcentral is "bacterial LSU rRNA". It matches the Rfam family "Bacterial large subunit ribosomal RNA", at positions 1640 to 2925 of the family's 2925-position model. The record is from RNAcentral.
UAUCGUACCCCAAACCGACACAGGUGGUCGGGUAGAGAAUACCAAGGCGCUUGAGAGAACUCGGGUGAAGGAACUAGGCAAAAUAGAACCGUAACUUCGGGAGAAGGUUCGCUCUUGACAGUGAAGUCCCUUGCGGAUGGAGCAGUUGGGAGUCGCAGUGACCAGAUGGCUGGGACUGUUUAUCAAAAACACAGCACUCUGCAAACACGAAAGUGGACGUAUAGGGUGUGACACCUGCCCGGUGCCGGAAGGUUAAUUGAUGGGGUUAGCGCAAGCGAAGCUCUUGAUCGAAGCCCCGGUAAACGGCGGCCGUAACAAUAACGGUCCUAAGGUAGCGAAAUUCCUUGUCGGGUAAGUUCCGACCUGCACGAAUGGUGUAACCAUGGCCAUGCUGUCUCCACCCGAGACUCAGUGAAAUCGAAUUCGCCGUGAAGAUGCGGUGUACCCGCGGCUAGACGGAAAGACCCCGUGAACCUUUACUACAGCUUGGCACUGAACAUUGAACCUACAUGUGUAGGAUAGGUGGGAGGCUUUGAAGCGGGAACGCUAGUUCUCGUGGAGCCGUCCUUGAAAUACCACCCUUGUAUGUUUGAUGUUCUAACGCAGGGCCCUGAAUCGGGCUCGCGGACAGUGCCUGGUGGGUAGUUUGACUGGGGCGGUCUCCUCCCAAAGAGUAACGGAGGAGCACGAAGGUUGGCUAAUCCUGGUCGGACAUCAGGAGGUUAGUGCAAUGGCAUAAGCCAGCUUAACUGCGAGACGGACAGGUCGAGCAGGUACGAAAGUAGGUCAUAGUGAUCCGGUGGUUCUGAAUGGAAGGGCCAUCGCUCAACGGAUAAAAGGUACUCCGGGGAUAACAGGCUGAUACCGCCCAAGAGUUCAUAUCGACGGCGGUGUUUGGCACCUCGAUGUCGGCUCAUCACAUCCUGGGGCUGAAGUCGGUCCCAAGGGUAUGGCUGUUCGCCAUUUAAAGUGGUACGCGAGCUGGGUUCAGAACGUCGUGAGACAGUUCGGUCCCUAUCUGCCGUGGGCGUUGGAUGAUUGAAGGGAGUUGCUCCUAGUACGAGAGGACCGGAGUGAACGAACCUCUGGUGUUCGGGUUGUCACGCCAGUGGCACUGCCCGGUAGCUAAGUUCGGAAUCGAUAACCGCUGAAAGCAUCUAAGCGGGAAGCGAGCCCUGAGAUGAGUCAUCCCUGACCCCUUGAGGGUCCUAAAGGGCCGUUGGAGACCACAACGUUGAUAGGUGGGGUGUGUAAGCGCGGCGACGUGUUGAGCUAACCCAUACUAAUUACCCGUGAGGCUUAACCGA